UACGGAGGGUGCGAGCGUUGUCCGGAAUCAUUGGGCGUAAAGGGCGCGUAGGUGGCCCGGUCAGUUCGUGGUGAAAGCGCGGGGUUCAACCCUGCGUCGGCCAUGAAUACUGCCGCGGCUGGAGCACUGUAGAGGCAGAUGGAAUUCCGGGUGUAGCGGUGGAAUGCGUAGAGAUCCGGAAGAACACCGGUGGCGAAGGCGGUCUGCUGGGCAGUAGCUGACACUGAGGCGCGACAGCGUGGGGAGCAAACAGG
This 254-nucleotide ribosomal RNA is filed under the name uncultured bacterium. RNAcentral's name for it is "partial 16S ribosomal RNA". It matches the Rfam family "Bacterial small subunit ribosomal RNA", at positions 524 to 776 of the family's 1533-position model. The record is from RNAcentral.